UUCCUUCGGGAAGUGGAUUAGCGGCGGACGGGUGAGUAACACGUGGGUAACCUGCCUCAAAGUGGGGGAUAGCCUUCCGAAAGGAAGAUUAAUACCGCAUAACAUAAGAGAAUCGCAUGAUUUUCUUAUCAAAGAUUUAUUGCUUUGAGAUGGACCCGCGGCGCAUUAGCUAGUUGGUAAGGUAACGGCUUACCAAGGCAACGAUGCGUAGCCGACCUGAGAGGGUGAUCGGCCACAUUGGAACUGAGACACGGUCCAGACUCCUACGGGAGGCAGCAGUGGGGAAUAUUGCGCAAUGGGGGAAACCCUGACGCAGCAACGCCGCGUGGGUGAUGAAGGUCUUCGGAUUGUAAAGCCCUGUUUUCUGGGACGAUAAUGACGGUACCAGAGGAGGAAGCCACGGCUAACUACGUGCCAGCAGCCGCGGUAAUACGUAGGUGGCGAGCGUUGUCCGGAUUUACUGGGCGUAAAGGGUGCGUAGGCGGAUGUUUAAGUGGGAUGUGAAAUCCCCGGGCUUAACCUGGGGGCUGCAUUCCAAACUGGAUAUCUAGAGUGCAGGAGAGGAAAGCGGAAUUCCUAGUGUAGCGGUGAAAUGCGUAGAGAUUAGGAAGAACACCAGUGGCGAAGGCGGCUUUCUGGACUGUAACUGACGCUGAGGCACGAAAGCGU
RNAcentral lists this ribosomal RNA (669 nucleotides) under bacterium enrichment culture. Its description in RNAcentral is "bacterial SSU rRNA". It matches the Rfam family "Bacterial small subunit ribosomal RNA", at positions 75 to 762 of the family's 1533-position model. The record is from RNAcentral.